GGACUCAGCGGUUUCCUGGGCAACCGGCCUCCUCCGGCGCGGCCCGCGCGGCUCCAGGUGGCGGGAGGCGGCGGUUGGCGGGAAGGGCCGCGCGGGCCCGGGGGCGGCGCCUCAGAUGCGCUCUUUCCAGAAAGGCAGCACACGCAUGUCUCUGCCGUGGCCCCAGAUCCUCCCCGCGCCGCCGUUUUGAGCGUUCACACUCAUUACCCAGGUCCGUCUGGGAGACCCGCCGGGCUCCCGCCCUCCCGGCCCGCAGCCUCCUGGCCAAAAUCCUCCCGGGACACCCCACCUGGACUGCUGCGAACGGGCCUCCACCCGCCUCCCCGGACCCGCAGCGCCCCCCGCUCCCUCAGGGUUCUGGGGUGAAGGGGUCUGAAUAGCACCAGGGGAGGCGGCAGGGCGGGCCUGUCCUACCUGCGCCCGAGCACUGCUGAGACGACAUCCCUUCCAGCGCCGCCACGUAGUCCAGCCCCAGCCAGCCGCGAUAUCUCCCCACAAACCUAAACAAUUUCGAGAGGGACUUGUGUUCUGCAACCAGUCACAGAAUAUCAGGUGAGCUGGGCGUGUCUUCACUGACCCACCCGCCCAGGGAUGCUGCACUCCUCUCCACCCUGCUCAGAAUCACUAGAAUGACCGUUCUGUGGCUACAGCCCUAAAAGAGCUACUAAAAAGACCAGAAGUAGUAUGAGAACUUAUGAAUACGAAUAUAAAUAAAGGACAUCUGGAGAACAUGCAUGAAUGUCUAUGUAAAGUGUUAAGUACUGAUCAAGGAGGAACGAAGGAGUCAGGUGGCUCUCAGUCUUUUUGGAGGGACUCGCAGAUCCUCCUGAAGAUCUGAUGAAAGCUGUCAGCCUUCUCCCCAGAAAAAUGCACAUCCACCCAGGAUUCUUCUCCCACAUUACUUCAGAGGACUUAGCAACCCCCUAGGGAAGCCCAGGGACCCAGAGUAAAGCACUCCUGGGAUAGAGGGGUUCUGUGGGGAAGAUGACAGGAAGGAACAUGCGUCAGUUCACAAUGUCAAAGUUUAGGAACAGGCCUGGCGAGCCAGCCAGCUCUGCAGUUCUGUGGUGCUGGUGGGUGUGGAGAAGGCAAUUUCAGCAUAAGUCGGGGGAGGGGGAGUGGUUAGAAACCAGUGGCUCCAUUGUGAGACAACCUGGGUUUAAAUUCUAGGUAUAUUUUGAAAGCACAACCAAUGGGAUCUGCUGAUAGAUUGGCUGUAGAGCACGAGAGGAAGACCGGAGUCAAAAAUGACUCCCGAGGAAAUGGAAAAGCUAAAGUUGCUCUUAAUUGAAGUGGGGAAGACUGAAGGAGGGACGGGGGUCCAACUUUGGACUUGAUCCAUUUGAGAUGACUGUUAGAAACACAAGUCAAAAUGUCAAGUAUGUAGUUAAAUAUGCAAGUUUGGGACUGAUGUCUGAAGAUGUAAAUUUAGAAGCCAUCUGUAUAUAGAUGGUAUUUGAUGACAUGGGAUUGGAUGAGAUCAAGGGUAAGCUGUAGACAGGGAAGAGGGCUGAGAACUGAAUCCUAGGGCUAACAGGUCAGGGAGAUGGGGAGGAAAUCAGCAGAGAAGACUGAGGAGUGGCCAGAGAGUGAGAGGACAGCCAGGCAGGGCUGAGGACCUGGGCAUCUGCAGGGGAAGGUGUUUCCAGGAGGAGGGAGAGCUGUGGCCAGUGCCACUGAGAGGUCAAGUAAAAUGAAGACUGAGAAAUGGCCACUGGGUUUAGCAACAUGGGUCACUGUGACCUUGACAAGAACAGCUUCAGGGCCCUGGUGGGAGCCUGUCUGGGGUAGUCUCCAUCCUUAAGAGGGGCCAGAGGAGAGGACUUGCUAACUCAGUCUCCAUCCUUAAGAGAGGCCAGAGGAGAGGACUUGUUAACUCCAGAGCAGACCACUCUUUGGAGGAGUUUUGCUUCGAAAGGGAGC
Molecule: long non-coding RNA, 1923 nt
Filed under: Homo sapiens (human)
Lineage: Eukaryota; Metazoa; Chordata; Mammalia; Primates; Hominidae
Description: HSALNT0317617
Source: RNAcentral